This 26-nucleotide non-coding RNA is filed under the name Rattus norvegicus (Norway rat). The record is from RNAcentral. Lineage: Eukaryota; Metazoa; Chordata; Mammalia; Rodentia; Muridae.
UGAAGUCAGCACUGUCGCUUUUCCUU